GUUGCAACUUCGUAAACCGUAGCAGAAGCAUUCAUGGUACGGUCUGUCAGAUUCCAACGAAUCUGCAAAUUCUGCU
Molecule: ribozyme, 76 nt
Filed under: Crocodylus porosus (Australian saltwater crocodile)
Lineage: Eukaryota; Metazoa; Chordata; Crocodylia; Crocodylidae
Description: Mammalian CPEB3 ribozyme (ENSCPRG00005014950.1)
Rfam family: Mammalian CPEB3 ribozyme
About the family: The mammalian CPEB3 ribozyme is a self cleaving RNA located in the second intron of the CPEB3 gene which belongs to a family of genes regulating messenger RNA polyadenylation. This ribozyme is highly conserved and found only in mammals.
Source: Rfam by way of RNAcentral